CACUUGAAAGAAAUUGUGUUCGGGUUCUAGUGUUUUGUGGAAGGUAGAACUUGCAAGAGAUGAAAUAAGAGAUUUAGCUGAAGCGAUUUUGAAGCCAAGUGUUGAAGGAGUGGCCUGGUUUGUCUCGACUGCUUCUAGUAAAAUGUGAAAAAAGAGAAACGGCUCAAAAAUGGAAUUGUUAACCGGAAAGGAAGCAGAGCACAGAACUUAAAGAUUUGGAAAAUUCUGAGCGUAUCCAUAUGCGUAUUGAAGAGAAUGAGAAAGUCCUCAGGGAGAACACGUAGGGUGUGGCCAAGAGACGACUGAUAGGGGGAUUAGUCAGCCAUCUCAAAGAAGCCAGGAACCAUUUUCCAAGACAAUGGAAGACUGCAAAGAAGGCUUUGCUUGUGCCUGACUCUCCCUGGACCACCUCACUUGCCAGCACUCUUUCCUUGGCUGCCCCAGGUGCUGUUCCAGCGCCCGGUAAGGCGUGGGCUGUGCCUGGCAGAGCUUGGGGGCAUGGCUGCCUCCAUCUUGAUUUCAAAGGACAAGGCCUCCCAGCAAAGCCAUGGUCCCAGGUGUUAACCCUGGAGAGCCACUGUGGGGACAGGGCUGCCCAAAGCUGUAGGGGCAGGGCAGCCAGGAGCCAUGGGGCCUCAACCUAGCCCAGCAAAGCUUGGGCAGGAGCACUGCCCCACUGAGUCUGGAGAGCAGAGUAUCAAGGCAAAGAGGAUUAUUCUUGAGGCUUAAGGUCUAAUGGAAUUUGCCUCCUUGGGUUUUGGACUUGCUUAGGCCUUGUCCGUCUUUUCUCCUUUCUUCUUUCUCUCAUCUGGAAUGAGAAUGCCUGUCCUGUGCCUGUCUCACCAUUGUAUUUCAGAAGCACAUAACAUGCUUGACUUCGCAGGUUCACAGUUGGAGAGCAGACUGCCUCAGGACAAAUCAUACCUGAGCCUCGCUCAUAUCUGAUUUAGGUUGAUAUUUAGAUAGGACUGGACCUAGACUUCAAAGUUGAUGCUGGAACCAGUUACGAAUUUGGGGCUAUUUGGACGAUGUAUACAAGAUGUCUUGCAUACAAGAAAGACAUGGAUUUUGGAGGACCAGGAUGGAAUACAAUAGACUGAAUGUGUCCCCCCUCUCCCCCCGCCAAAUUCAUAUGUUGAAACUGAAUCCCCAGUGUGAUGUUAUUUGGAGGUGGGGCCUUUGGGAGGUGAUUCAGUCCUAAGACGAUUAGUCCCUUAUAAAAGAGAUCCCAGAGAGAUCUCUUGCCCCUUCUGCUAGGUGGAGACACACUCUCCUACCUGCUGUCAUGAACCAGGAAAUGAGCUCUCCUAGACACCAAAUCCACCGGCCCCUUAAUCUCAGACAUCCUAGCCUCCAGGACUGUGACAACUAAAUGUGCAUUGUUCGUAAGCCACUGAGUCUAUGGUAUUUUUGUUAUAGCAGCUGGAAUGGACUAAGACAACUGUCUUUUCAUUAUUAAGUUAUAUUAUUUAUUACUGUUUGGAACUGUCAGGGCUAUUAAUUCUAAUAGUCGAAUCAAUUUUCCAGUGUUUUGUUGUUGUUGUUGCUAAAACAGACCAUCAUAACUGAAAAUAUUUUAUGAAUGGUCAAUUUACUUUGCUAUUUCUCUCAAUUUUUCAAGUUAGCCUGAUGAGAGAGAGAGCAAGAGAGGGAGCGCAUGUGCACAGUUGCCUGUGCGUACCUGAACAAAAGGUUCACAAAUCAGUAUUGCCUUCAUUUUUCUUAAAGUACGUGCUCUGGGAAAUGAAAAAAAAAAAAAGGUUUAUGAGUUGCUUUGGAAUGUUGCAUUUUAUUUAUUUUUUUAUUUAAAAAAAUUUUUUUUAACGUUUUUAUUUAUUUUUGAGACAGAGAGAGACAGAGCAUGGACAGGGGAGGGGCAGAGAGAGAGGGAGACACAGAAUCAGAAGCAGGCUCCAGGCUCUGAGCCAUCAGCCCAGAGCCCGACGCAGGGCUCGAACUCACGGACCGUGAGAUCGUGACCUGAGCUGCAGUCAGACGCUUAACCGACUGAGCCACCCAGGCGCCCCUGGAAUGUUGCAUUUUAAAAUUGAAUGAAAAGUAUCCCAUCUUGGCAUAUGGUACCGCCUCAAAAUAUUCUUAAGAACUUUGUAGUAGAAAGAUUAAAAAAAAAACUUUUUUUAGAAUCAUUUAUAGAUUACUUGGAGAACAUACAUUUUAGGACAGUUCUCAAAUAUAAUUAUAUGCAUUUUGGCUGCCAAGGUCAUUGUCAUCCACCCUAAAGAAAAGAUUCAAUGCUUUCUUGGGUGUUGAAUUUCUUCUUGGUGUCUUAUCAGAGCUUUGUAGGGCUGUGACUGUCAUCCUGCCUGCUUAUGUCCUAAAAACCCUGGCAGCAGUACUGGCAAUGGUAACAUCCAUUUAUUUCCGCAGUGUGAGAAAUAAGAAGGUACUUAUUAAAACAGGGGUCAGAAUUUUUUUUUUUCCUAUAAAGGACCAGUUGUGAAUAUGUUGGGCUUUCUAGGGUACAAAGUUACCGUCAUAACUACUCAACUCUGCUUUUGCAGCACAAAGGCGGCCAUAGACCAUAGGUAACUGAAUAUGCAUAACUCUGUUCCAAUAAAGCUUUAUUUAUAAAAACAGGUGGUUAGCUGGAUUUGGGCCAUGGUUCCCACUUUGCAGACCACCACUCUAAAGUCUGAUAGAGAGGAGAUAACUACAAGUAUACGUGUUUUGGAAUUUGAAGUUGGAAGUUGUCUCCUCCUGGAACUCUUAAGGAACACAAAAGAUUUGCGAAACAGGUGUAUUUUUUCAUUAAAACGUAGGAAUUAUGAUUGCUAUCAAAUUGCUUUCGUUGCUUAGAUAAAUCGUGAUUGAAGUCCUUCUGACCCAUUGUUUUGGGGCAAAAUCCACUCCCAGUCUGUGGCAGAGAACGGCAGAAAGAAUUAGAAAACCAUUUAUGGUAAACUCUUAAGGGACAGCAUUACUAAUUUGUGCAUGUGGCAGUUUAGUAUGUAUGUGAAAACUACCCGCUUAAAGACAUCUCUCUUCUUCAUUACAAUAGCAUGUCCAACUUUAGCAUAUGGAAGCAUUUCUGCAGUGUAAGUUAUUCUGAGGAAAAGACAUGAUUUGUAAAUGCUGUCAAGUAAACUAUGCUUUUCUAAGUGCGGCUCGGGUGACUGGAUACAUCUCUGUAAAAACUGUCCCACAAUAGUGCGGGAAAAGCAGACACCGGGGCAGAGUGUAAGCAACCCUUUUCAGGUACUUUUUUUUUUUUUUUAAUUUUUUAAUGUUUAUGUAUUUUUGAGAGAAAGAGAGACAGAGCACGAGCAGGGGAGGGGCAGAGAGAAGAGGGAGAUACAGAAUCCGAAACAGGCUCCAGGCUCUGAGCUGUCAGCACAGAGCCCAAUGCCGGGCUCGAACUCAUGAACCAUGAGAUCGUGAUCUGAGCCGAAGUCAGACGCUUAACUGACUGAGCCACCCAGGUGCCCCCAGGUAUUUCUAUCCAGCUGUCUUCCUCUUCCUCCUGCAACAAGGACACUAUCACAAAGGAUUGCUCAACCUCUAUUCUUGGAAUUGUUAAUGACCCUUGGCAAAUUUUUAAAACUUUCUGUGGCUUCAUUUGCAGAUAAGGUAAGACCAAGAGCAGGGAAAAAAAAAAAAAAACUUGACCGAGAUUUUAAUCAAAAUCAUAUGUUAUUAAUAAGGGAAACUGUGUAGAUUGUAGAAAGCUUUUAAGUUAAUGAAACUGUUUUACUGUCUUCCCAACAGACACUGACUGAGCAAGUUGCUUUUCUAAGUCGUAAUAUGUAUAGUCAACAUCAUCUGUUUAGGAAAGAGCUGCGAAACAUGUUUUUUCCUACAAAUGAAAAAACAUGCGUAUACCUAACUCACAACUGCUCAAUGAGUUUUUUUUUAAGUUUACUUUUUAAAUUAAAAGUAUGCACGUGCAUUAUAAAGAAUUUAGAAAACAAUGAAAAACUAGAAGGAAAUAAAAGCUCACCCCUUGGGCCCCCAGCUCUUCAACCUGUUAUUUAUAGAAGCUUUCAAACAAAAAGAACAGAGACACUGUAGAAUGAAGUGAGGGUGAAGUAAAAUAUUUGUUUUGCUAACUGAUUAGCAAGUCACAAUGUGAACAGCCGGGGACCUUGUGAUGGCUUUAGGACCUACUAUUAAUGUAGUAAGAUGUGCAGCCAAUGCCUUCAAAUUGCCUCUAGACAGUGUCAUAUGAUUGGAUGUUGAACAGAAAGCCGAUAGAAGGGCAAAAAGAAGUUGAGCUGUGUAACAUUUCUCAUACCGUUGCAGCUGUAUUCAAGGAGAAGAAAGGAAAAAAUCAUAAUGUUUUUAGAAGGAAACAUGAAAAUAUCCACAUUAGGGGCACCUGGGUGGCUCAGUUGGUUGAGUGUCUGACUUCGGCUCAGGUCAUGAUCUCGCCGUUCGUGGAUUCAAGCCCCACAUCGGGCUCUGUGCUGAGUCGGUGUGGAGUCUGCUUGGGAUUCUCUCUCUCCUUAUCUCUGACCCAACCCUGCUUGUGUUCUCUCUCUCUCUC
Acinonyx jubatus (cheetah) is the source of this 4504-nucleotide long non-coding RNA. RefSeq lists it as uncharacterized. Lineage: Eukaryota; Metazoa; Chordata; Mammalia; Carnivora; Felidae. The record is from RefSeq and is a predicted model, not a curated record. The transcript is spliced from 2 exons.